Molecule: long non-coding RNA, 1550 nt
Filed under: Oryctolagus cuniculus (rabbit)
Lineage: Eukaryota; Metazoa; Chordata; Mammalia; Lagomorpha; Leporidae
Description: lncRNA (ENSOCUG00000031500.1)
Source: RNAcentral
UUAUGUAGUAAUUCAAGGGAGUAAAAAAUGACAAAAUGAACCAAGUUGUAUCACUGUUGGUGCUUUCAACCAAGAUUUCUCAAAAAAAAAGUAACAGCAUGAAUCUGUCCUUCACUGCAGGAAGAAAUUGUGUGACAUACUUAGGAUGCCAAGGAUUGUUGGAAAAGAGUAGGCACUAGCCAUGGCCUUGGCAUGCCCACAAUGCUUUACUCUACCAUGACUUAAUAGGAAGAUUUUACUGCUCGUGGUUGUGUUUCUGACUCAUGUAAAAGCCAUAUAAAUCAGAAAAAUGUGUUCUCAGUGUCCUCUUAAUAUUAGCAAGCCAUAUAAUUAAAAUUAGAAGAGAUAAAAAUGGCACAAAUUUUUCAUCUCCCAAUAUGAGCCAACAGAAAUCAGAAAGUUAUUCUCUGUCAACGUCUUCAAGGAUAUUUUGUGUAAGGCCAUGACCAUUCUCCAUGACGGUCUCCUCAAACAGUGACCAGCAGUCCAUGAAGACCAUUUUCUUAGUGGUUACAACACAGUGAGCUAUUGACGUAGGUGAGCUUUACUUGAAUUUGUUUGUUUUUUUUUUUUUAAACCUAUAUUCUAUUGUAAGGAAAUAAAUUCCUUAAAUGUAGCAGUAAAAUGAUAUGUACUCAUAUUUAUCCUGAAAUGACCUCUUUUGAGGACUCAUCUCACGUGUCUGGCUUAAUGGCAAAACUCAAAGUUGGAUUCAAAAACAUUUAGCCUCCAAUUCUAUUUCUGAGCAAUAACAUGGUGUCAUGAACUAAUCAUUAGCAUUGGUAUUAGAUCUGAACUCUAAUCAUAGAUCUAAUCCAAAUUAACUGUAGACUUCAUCAUUUGUUGAACUUUUUGAGCCAUGGUUUAUUAUGUCUAAAAUGAGGAUUAUGAUAUUGCCUCACAGAGUUGUGAAAUUAAGUAUUAGUGUGCAUGUAAAGUACCCAGAACAUUUUUUUUAUUUUUCCAUUGUACUCCAUCCUGGACUGAGACUGACUCCUAGCUUUUUGAUACAAUUUGGAAAAAUAUAAAAUAUUGACAAAAUGUAAUAAUGAAGAAAAUAGUCUAUGUCUAGGUAGAUAAAUAUCAUUUUUCCAAUGAUAGUUUGUCAACUUGGUGAAUUGCAUUGAUUGACUCUCAAAUAUUAAAUCCUCUGUUAUCCUGAGAUAAAUCCCACUUGGUCAUAAUAUAUUACUAUUUCAAUAUGUUUUUAAAUUUAACUUCUAAAAUUUUAUUUCAAAUUUUAGAUCCAUUAUCAUGAGAAAUUUUUGGUCUUUGUAUUUUUAUAUGUUUUUAUUUUAGUUUUAGGCUGAUUCUGGCUUCAUAUAAUGAGUUGGAAAGAUUACCUCCUUUGCAAUUUUCUGGAAGAGUUUAACAUUUAUAUCAUUUCUUUAAAUAUUUGGUAGAAUUUAACAAUGAAGCUAUAAAGACUUGAAUUGUCGUUGAGGGAAGAUUAUUAACUAAAAGUCAAAUUGCUUUAAUAGAUACAGACUUAUUCACAUUGCUUACUCAUUUUUUUAAGUGAGUUUUGGUAUUUUGUGGCUUUCAUGGUU